UGGCUCUCGCAUCGAUGAAGAACGCAGCGAAAUGCGAUAAGUAAUGUGAAUUGCAGAAUUCAGUGAAUCAUCGAAUCUUUGAACGCACCUUGCGCCUUUUGGUAUUCCGAAAGGCAUGCCUGUUUGAGUGUCAUGAACUCUCAACCCCCCGGGUUUAUGAUCUGGGAAGGUUGGAUUUGAGCCCUGCCGUCCGCGGCUGGCUUUAAAUGUGUCAGUGGGUUGAACCGCCUACGCCGGACGUGAUAAGUUUCGUCCUGGUAAGGUGUGGGAUCCCGCUAAUAACCACCAUCUUUUUGACUCUUGACCUCAAAUCAGGUAGGACUACCCGCUGA
RNAcentral lists this unclassified non-coding RNA (332 nucleotides) under uncultured fungus. RNAcentral describes it as "partial contains 5.8S ribosomal RNA and internal transcribed spacer 2". The stretch from base 1 to 133 matches the Rfam family "5.8S ribosomal RNA", at positions 22 to 154 of the family's 154-position model. Lineage: Eukaryota; Fungi. The record is from RNAcentral.